Molecule: transfer RNA, 72 nt
Filed under: Pteropus alecto (black flying fox)
Lineage: Eukaryota; Metazoa; Chordata; Mammalia; Chiroptera; Pteropodidae
Also listed under: 1 other name
Rfam family: tRNA
About the family: Transfer RNA (tRNA) molecules are approximately 80 nucleotides in length. Their secondary structure includes four short double-helical elements and three loops (D, anti-codon, and T loops).
Source: Rfam by way of RNAcentral
GGCUCCAUAGUGGUGAUUAGCACAUCUGCUUUACAUGCAGAAGGUCCUGGGUUCGUACCCCAGGUGGAGCCA